Talpa occidentalis (Iberian mole) is the source of this 651-nucleotide long non-coding RNA. RefSeq lists it as uncharacterized. The record is from RefSeq and is a predicted model, not a curated record. The transcript has 3 exons. NCBI's taxonomy places the organism in Eukaryota, Metazoa, Chordata, Mammalia, Eulipotyphla, Talpidae.
GGCUUCUCAUAGCCCCCUUUGGAGCAGUGUCUCCCGAAACGCUGCGGAAAGUGAGCUUUAAUAUAAAGGAGACGCAAGCCUCGAACUCUAACUGGCUCGAGGAAACAUCCUUUUGGCUUUUUGAAGUUCGGAUGUUUCGGAAAUUACUCCCAGCUCGCUGGCCACGUCCCCCAUAAAACUGGAAGAUUUUCUCCAUGUCGCAUCCCCCAGCGCACCUGGGAAAGGAGCGUGGAACUGCCUGGCACAGGAACAUUCACCUCACAGUCAUAUCUGGUCAAUUCGGGCAGCAGGUAUGGCUCAAAUGAAGACCCGAGCAGACGGCUUGCCAUGCCUGGAAUAGAGGUCAUCUUUCAGGCCUGCCACUUUGAGGGCCACAGAAGAUUUGUGACCCAUGGCAAAGCCAAGCCACCUCUGCCUACCCUCAGAUGGGGCUGAAGAAGGGCCGGCCCCCAGCAUCCCCACCCAGCCUCUGCAGAAGCCGUGAUGAGUCCUCCCUGCUCCUCCUCCUUGCAGAUGUCUCCCAGUUAGACUGAGGCUUAUGACUUCGCUCCUGAACUGCUUAACAUCUGUGUUCACUGUACAGAAAUAUUGGGGACUGUCUUCAUCCUCAGUCUUGAAUGCUCCCUCUGCUACCAUUAAAUCAGUAACAAA